CCUACUGGCGGCCGCAGUGAGGAAUAUUGGUCAAUGGGCGCGAGCCUGAACCAGCCAAGUCGCGUGAGGGAAGACGGUCCUAUGGAUUGUAAACCUCUUUUGUCGGGGAGCAAAAGACGCCACGCGUGGCGUUCCGAGAGUACCCGAAGAAAAAGCAUCGGCUAACUCCGUGCCAGCAGCCGCGGUAAUACGGAGGAUGCGAGCGUUAUCCGGAAUGACUGGGCGUAAAGGGUGCGUAGGUGGUUUGACAAGUUAGUAGCGCAACUCCGGAGCUCAAAUUCGGAACUACUACUAAAACUGUUGGACUUGAGUGCAGGAGGGGAAAUCGGAAGUCCUAGGGUAGCGGUGGAAUGCGUAGAUAUUAGGAGGAACACCAGUGGCGAAGGCGGAUUGCUAGACUGUAACUGACACUGAGGCACGAAAGCGUGGGGAGCAAACAGGAUUAGAUACCCCUGUAGUC
RNAcentral lists this ribosomal RNA (460 nucleotides) under uncultured bacterium. Its description in RNAcentral is "partial 16S ribosomal RNA". It matches the Rfam family "Bacterial small subunit ribosomal RNA", at positions 338 to 795 of the family's 1533-position model. The record is from RNAcentral.